Molecule: long non-coding RNA, 3362 nt
Organism: Lampris incognitus (smalleye Pacific opah)
Lineage: Eukaryota; Metazoa; Chordata; Actinopteri; Lampriformes; Lampridae
Exons: 5
Source: RefSeq, a predicted model, not a curated record
GCGGCGCUCCUGUGGGAAGUGUAAUGCUUGUCUCUGCAGGAAGGACUGUGGCACAUGUGACUUCUGUAUCGACAAACCUAAGUUUGGAGGCAGCAACAAGAAGAGACAAAAAUGUCGUCUGCGCCAGUGUCAGAGACAGGCAAUGUUGGGCCAAGCUGAGUAUGGAACCCAGGAAGGCUUGAUGCAGUUCGGCAGGCCCAGACCUCAGUAUACAUACAGUCGAAAGAUGACCCAAAAGAGGACUAAUAGACUGUUGACUGGCUUGGAUUUUACUGACAAUGAAGAUGAUACCAGUAGACUGCAAGCUCCAAAUUGGAAUCCUGAUCCUACCAGCAGUAGAAUCCAUCAGUCAUCCAUGCAGGUUGUAUUAAAAAUUGUAAACCAAAAGAUUUAAAAUGCGUAUCCAUCCUAAACUGAAAAAACAUUUUUUUUGAAUUUCAUCUUUGUCUUUUAAAAGUUCAAUCAUUCAGAUGCAGUACAGAGAAAUGGACUCCUUGAAAGAAGCCCUAGCAUCAACCACACCAGUUUGCGACUAGAUCAGCUAAACACAUGGGACAAAGACAGAUCAAACACAGGCAGGGGUCUUGAAAAGCUGACUGGAGAAGUGGAUGAAGAGGAGUUUCCCAUGAUUACACGGAUUUUUAGUUUGGCAGAAAAUGCAGCUGAGAGUGGUCUGGACAUGGAAAACCAGCUGCUUAAGCUAUUAGAGGAAUUGCGCUCUUCUGCAUUGCCGAUCCUCUGGUAUGCCAUAGUGACAGAGGGUCCGCAGCUGCAGCUUAUCCAGUGUGCUAAACAGUCCAGCAUGAUUGACACCAUGGUGCUGAUUGACCCGGGCUUCUGCUAUCAGGUAACAGUGCAAAAGCAGCCACUGUUACUCACCCACCCUCUUUAUGAUGAACACCCCACACAUCUUACAUCUGUGGGCGACGUGACAAGCCUGCUAUUGGACUUGGAGAGGUACAACAUGUGCCAGGGACUUCCCCCUGUGGACCUACCAAGUGACAAGGGUCCGAUCAUCUUGGAGCGAUCCUCAAUAUGUGAUUUAUUAGUUAAGAAGAACGCCAAGAUCUGUACUAAUUGCAGAGCCUUAUCUAGGUAAUUAGAACAUUAACCGCAGCUGAGACAGAAAAGAUUUAGACUAGUGAAAGCCAAAAUGUCUUCUUGUGUCAAAUACUUUCAUGUCUUUUAUUGGGAUGGCCAAACUGAAUUGACAUUGUACACUUACCUCUUGACUAUUUUGAUGUGAUUUAAUUUUAUGAAGAUACACCAAAGGCUGUCCGAGGACAGUUGCAUUGUAAUCACCUUGAGUGAGCAAGCCUGUUCUGAUUUCUUUGGUAUGCUGGUGCAGGGCUUCUCAUGGGUUUGAUUUUGCACCCACUGGUUUCAGUGUGCGGCAUGGUGGCACAGUGGUUAGUGUGGUCACCUCACAGCAAGAAGGUCCUGGGUUCGAGCCCCUGGGUAGUCCAACCUUGGGGGUCGUCCCUGGUCGUCCUCUGUGUGGAGUUUGUGUGUUCUCCCCGUGUCGGCGUGGUCAGGUGAAUUGGCCAUACUAAAUUGCCCCUAGGUGUGUGUGUGUGUAUGUGUGUGUCCCUGUGUGAUGGCCUGGCAGCCUGUCCAGGGUGUCUCCCCACCUGCCGCUCAAUGACUGCUGGGAUAGGCUCCAGCAUCCCCGUGACCCUGACAGCAGAAUAAGCGGUUCGGAUGGAUGGAUGGUUUCAGUGUGACAUUCAAGGCUGAAUUCACUUGGCCAUUUUGUCAACUGCUCCCUUCAUUUUCUUUUGGUGUAUUCAAAGACAGUGUUCAAACGAUCAGUUUCUUUUUCUUUUCACCAACACAAAACACAAAGCUAAAACUAGUCCUCUGUAAACAAAUGAUUACAUCCUUGAUUGUUGAAUGAUUGUUUCCUUAUGUUGGGGCAACUACUGCAUCAUUCAGAUGUUUCUUCUUCAUAUGCACAAUACAAGCAGGCAUUUGUUCAGCCUACAAAUAAAUUGAAUAAUUGUCUCACAUCUCUUAGCACUUGAACGGAAGGGGAAUGACAAUAGCUAUUGAAUCUCUUGUCAUUUUCAUCUUUGCUCAUCCAGGUUAGUUUCUUUGAAAAUGAAUAUAUUUUACCUGAAUACCUUUAUCCCUGACCAUCAGUGUGUUCAUCCCUAAAAUGACUAAGCCACAACAAAUAAAAUGGAGUAAAAAAUAAUUAGGUCCUUAAAGAUUUCAGUGUAAGUUUGCAUUAUCGUUUUUUUUUUUUGUUUUUUUUUUGUGUGGCAAUUUUAGCCUUUAUUCAACUGGACAGUAGAGGGAGUCAGGAAACACAGGGUGAAUAGAUAAGAAGAUAUGCAGUAAAUUUCCCAUGGCCCAAUUUGAACCCGAGAAGCUGCGAUCAUGCCCGAGCCCACAUGUGAUCACACUUGACUGGCUGAGCCACCAGGACACCCCACAUUUGCAGCUUCAUUAUUUGUUUUCAUGGGGGUUUUCCUGGCAGAUCUUUAUUUGAAUUGAAUACUUUACUGAAAAGCUCUAUGUAACUAACUUGGUUUAAGAACAGUUUAAAAAAACACUAUUUGGGAUAUACUGACAAGACUAGUGUGUGGUAGAAUAUUGUAGACAUUUCUAUGUUUCCAUUUAAGGCCAUGAGUUUUGACAUCUUUUUAAAAUUGGAGAAGAUUUGCAGCAUAUUCAAAGCUGUUUUAGAUUCCCACCUUUGCAACCUUCCUCAUGUCUUGGUUGAGACAAAAAUAAAUGAGCAUGCCUUUGCAUGCAAUAAGUUUUCUUUAUGUAGCAAAGUAAACAUCUGAAAUGUGACAUAAUCUUUGGAUGGAGGGACCAGAGAACACGCAUUUUGUUAAGUUAAUCACUGUAAACCAUUAAUAUCUCAUAAGGUAGUGUCUUCUUCAAGCCAUGUUUGUGUCUAGCGAUUUUCCUACCAUGGAUAUCAUGAAAGUCUGUAUUUAUGAUGCAGUAGCCUAUAGACAAGGGACAACUUUUCCCCUUUCCCUAGUUGCUUGAUGGAGGAAAAUUAAUUUAAUAUUUGCUGUUUUGGUUUUCUAGAUGACAUUGAGAGCAAUUUAAUUAUAUGUAUACCUGUUUCAAGUUUGUUUGAUUGUUUUUGGGGGGUUUUGCUUUCAUUGUUAAUUUUGAAAUAUUCCCCUAAUAUGCAAAAUAAAUGUUAUUGUUAAGCCCACGGUUAAAAAUGUCAUACUUGUGUGGCGAGAUCCAUUGGAAUUCAGCCUCUGUAUAACUAAGUUAAAAUUUAACUGUUGUUAAUUUCUUUGAGAUUGAGGGUUUUGUUGACGGGUUUUAUUAUUUUUUUGUUGCUAAAACGAGGGAUGUUUAUAUUUCUUUUUGAUGUCGGUCUUGAAACC